AAAUUAUUAUUUUUAUAUAAUUGAAAGAAAUAUAAAGUGCUUUGUGGUCGUUAAAUGCGACGUAGGGGGCGAGAGAAACGAUUUCAGUGUGUAGAUUGACAGAGAGAAAUAAAAUGGAAGAUGGGGAGGGGGAGAGGUGAGUAUGUAUUAAAAUUAAAUGGAAACGACGACUGUACGAGCAGUAGUGAUGAUAAUCGUGUGCUUUACGUGGGACUCUGAACAUUAUGGUAAUUGCUAAUUGAGUCUGCCAACGAUUUCCAGACAGUCGAGGACGCAAGAGAACGCGAGGAGAGUAGUAGGUCAAAAUCGAUAACAAGAGCAGUGUCUCAGCUGGUUCAGUUGUACACGGACGGUUUAGUGCCCACCCACUGAAUCAUUAUUUCUCAUUUUUCUUUUCUUAUGGUUUUAUCUUUAUUUUCGUUUUUUUUUUUUUUUUUUUUUUGCAAGGAAUCAAGACGAGUGAGUUGUCAGAGAGGAAGUGAAGUUUGAAAUGAAUUUAAAGAUCACAUGUAUAUCCUGAAAUUUUUUUCACGCCUUCAAAAUUACAUUUUGAUUUACUUUUUAGUUGACAAUAGUUUUAUAUUAAUUUUCGUCGCGAAUAAAAAUAUACGAGGACUGUAUUUAUGUUUGAUGCUGAAGGUCAGCUCGACUCAUCCCUUUUCAACAACAUUCUAUACAUAUAUAUGUUAUGUAUACCUUUUACCUAAGGAAAUUUUCUGGCCAACAGCCAAACAUAUAUAUAUAUAUAUAUAUAUAUAUAUAUAUAUAUAUAUAUAUAUAUAUAAACACAAAACGUUUCCAUUCGUUUGUAUUGCGUUUAUCUGUCGUUCUUAUGUGUUUCCUUCCUUCCUUUCCCAAGACAUGAUGCUUGGAAAAAUUAACUGUCGAUUACCAAUAACUUUAUAAUAAAAAAAAUCUAUAAACCACCAUAUAUAUAUAAAGAUAUAUAAAAGGAACAAUAGAAUAAAGUGUAUGAUGAAAUAAUUCAGCGGCUACUUGACUCAAUUACCUGGGGACUUAAAUUUACGAGGAUAAAUUUGAACAAAACGGAUAAAUCAAGUGCUGGUGAUUAAGGCGAGCCACUUGAUGAAGGAAAAAUAGUUUAAGUAUUUAAAAAAAAAAAAACGUAAAUACCUUGUCUGUACUUUAUCGAUUAUAAAUGAGCUUUAAUAUUAUAUAAAGAGAAAAUAUUGUAUUAUACAAUAUCUUUAGCUUGCAGAAUUUUUUCAGCCUCAUUAUCGAUGCUUUAGUGCUUUCCAGUGAAAAUAAAAAAAAGGAGAUAAAAAAUUUUAAAUAUUAAAUUUAUUAAACUAAAUAAAAGUCAAUCACGACAAGUUUAAAUAUAGAACGCGAAUCAAUAUACUAAAAA
Long non-coding RNA from Microplitis mediator, 1369 nucleotides. RefSeq lists it as uncharacterized. The record is from RefSeq and is a predicted model, not a curated record. The transcript has 3 exons. NCBI's taxonomy places the organism in Eukaryota, Metazoa, Arthropoda, Insecta, Hymenoptera, Braconidae.